Long non-coding RNA from Gadus morhua (Atlantic cod), 340 nucleotides. RefSeq lists it as uncharacterized. Lineage: Eukaryota; Metazoa; Chordata; Actinopteri; Gadiformes; Gadidae. The transcript is spliced from 3 exons. The record is from RefSeq and is a predicted model, not a curated record.
AGAGGUCGGUGGCUUUCAGAGAUGGAUGCUCUGUUGUGACUAUCUGUAGGCACAAAUCAAAGCUCAUAACAGGAAGUCCUAAAGGAGGCUUCUGCCCCCCUGCCUGCUGAUUGGCCUACUCCAAGAAAACUGAUUUGGUGUACCCCAAUCCCUCUUCAGGUGUUGGAGUGGUGCCUAUAGAUGCCCUUCCCCUUUGGCAGGUGAACCAGGAAUCCGGUGCUGUAAGCAGAGUGUCAAGGACGGCCGCCAAAACAGUUGACAGCAGCAGCAUUUCAAGUGAACGAGUGAGAUGAGCCAUUCCUCGGGAUGAGGCCAGCCGAGGUGGAGGUGGAGGUGGAGG